UUCAUUGGAUUCAAAAGUGCAAUUCCAAAGUGUGGGUUUGGAGUAUUAAUUACCCAACUGGAGAUAUAACUCUCUGUCACCCAUCUAUUUAUAGAAAAAACAAAAGAAAAGAACGGUCACCUGUAGUCAAUGCAAGACGCUUUACCAACCUGCCCCUCCCUCAGCCUAUCACAUAAAUGAAUGUCGGUGUUCACGUUGUAUAUCACAGAAUUUGGUGCUACUCUGCAAAUUUACAGUUGGUUGACUUAAAUGUUCCAUACCUACUAUUUGUAAUCCCCGGAGUAUGUUGAAUCGCUCAUCAUCAUCAUCAUCACCAUCACCUUAUUUUGGGUAAACUGUUUUUUUCAUCCUAAAUUACACUGUUUUCUCAUUUGGGUGCAAUUCAUUUUCCUCCUAAUCAGUUGGGUUUGACCUAACUCAUGGGGAUGUGAAAAAAAUCGGACGUGGGCAAUUUUUAUUUCCGAUGUGUCUGAAAAGUUAAACCCGUAUUACCCACCUCUUAUUUUGGACCAUGAACUAAUAAUAGUAGUUACUUUUGUAAUGGUAAUAAUUUCCUCUGAUAUCAGUAAUCACCAUUUCAUUUCAUACUAUUCCAAGUGGGUUUUGCGAAAACUAUGCAGAACAUUUGGUUCUGGGUUUUGUCAAAUGGUAGAAAAUGUAGUUUUGGCUGUUUCUAUUCAGUUGAAGACAGUGGAAGACUUUAUAGGAGAGAUAUGAUUAUAAAUUGAGUGUAAUGUUGGAAUUCUUGAAACGGUAUUGGAGUGACAGGACACGGAAUUAUAAUGUUGCAAAUUUUGUACAACUGCAGACAUGAGAAUUAAUAUGCAAGCAAAACCACACAGUCCAAGAGCAGAACAUUAUCCCUCAAGAAGAGUAGAGUAUGAUGAGAAUGCAGCACCUGUUGGUAUCCCAGGAAUUGACCAUGAAACUAAGGAAGAGAUGGAUUCUGUUGGGAAACCUACUGCAAUAGAUAAAAUAGCUUUAGCGACUGAUGUCAUAAAUGACAAAGUUGAUUUUGAUGCUACUUCAGAGUUGGCACCCAACAUAACAAAUAUGUCGAUUUGUGAAGUGGAUUCACCUACUUGCAACAAAGCUAGUACUAAUGACCAAUCGGCACUCUCUUUUAACCCUGAAAAUGGUCAGAAGGUUCCAUCUCUCAUUUAUCCAACCCAGGAAUGUUCUCCAAGAAUUAGCCAUCAGUUAUCUAUAGAAGAAAUGAGAACUCCAAAUGGUAGCACUCCUACAGCAUCUAGAUCAGGCAUUUUUGCGUGUCUUGCAGAGGAUGGUGAGUUUGGAUUACGGGAUAUUAGUAUUGAUGAGGGAGUCCCUUCAGAGGAUAAAGUUCUGAUAUCUUUGGAUCGUAACAUUUAUUUUGAGAAACCAUCACGUGCCAUGUCUUCUGCAACAAUUGAAAGUUCUUGUUGCGGUAUUGGUCUUAGAAAUAAACAGUGUAAGCCAGAAGAUCAAAGUUCAUCAGGUGAUGAUUGGGAUAGGCUUAACCAGGGUGAACUGCAAUGCUCUCAACUAAAUAAAAGAAAUGAAGAUGAAAAUGGCAUGUUAGAUGAAGCAGGUAUAUUAAACUCCCUAAAAGUAGAUGAGAUUUUUCCAACUUCCUUUAAAGAAAUUCAUGAGGGCAAUCAAAAUGAAGGUACCCAUUCCUUUGAUGAAUGCAGGAGUGGAAAUACUACUUUAGAGAAGAAAGAAAACAUCUUAGGAUGUCUAGCAAAAUAUGGUGAUAGGUAUGAUGAGCAAUGGUACAAUUUGGUUGAUUAUUCAGAUGGAAUUCAUGAUAAGGGUAUCACUUCCAAUGCCAAUUGCAUAGAUGAUAGCUUUAAAGCAGAAGGAAAAGAGAACAAGGAUAUGAGUUAUUCAUCUCAAGGAAAUGCAGAGCAAUAUUUAUCGAAUAAUUUCCGAACAAGGACAAACCCAUUUGCAGACUCAGAAGAGAAUUCACAGUUUAUGUCAGAAUCAGCUUCUGCAUCAGUGGGAAGGCAUUCAGCUUUAAGUGGAAUUUUUGAAGCAGAAGGAAAAAUAACGGACAGGGGCUAUUUAUCUCAUGAAGAUGCAGAGCUUUUUCUAUCAAAUAAUUUUCAUAUGAGGACAAACCCUUUUGCACUCUCAGAAGAGGAGGCCCAGUUUAUGCCAGAGUCAUUUGCAUCAGUGGAAAAUCAUUCAGUAUCAACUGCUCAGUUUAUACCCGGGCUUUAUUCUACAUCUCUGGAAAGUCAUACAGCACCAAGUGCAGAUAAAAGCUCUGAAUCAGAAGGAAAAAAUAGUAAGGAUACAGAUCAUUCAUCUCAAGUAAAUUCAGAAGUUUGUUUAUCAGAAAAGUUUCAACUGAGGACAAACCCUUUUGCAAUUUCAGAAGAGGAGGCUCAGUUUAUGCCAGCAUCAUUUGAAUCAUUGGAAAGUCAUUCAGUAUCAAGUGCAAGUCUGUUGACAGGUCAUGUGGUCUCUGAGCAUUUAUCAGAUGUUAGUUCUUCAAAAAGUGAAGGAUCGGUUCUGAAGGCCUCUGACAAUUUUCAAAUUGACCCUGCCAUUGUUCAGAAAGUUAUCUCCGAGAAGUUAGGGAGUGAGGUAGAUCCUCAAAAGUCAGUUGAAGAACCACAUUUAGAAAAAUGUGGUAAUUCAACUGAUCCAUAUACUGCAGAGAAUUUUGUCCAGAUUCAUACGUCCACAGCUGCCAUGGUGGAUAAUGAAGCAACGAGGAAUAUGGAGAACCUGGGACAAAAAAUUGUCGGAUGUUCUGCAUUUACAGGAAGCCCGGCUGGGCAAGUUUGCUCCUUAGAAAUGGGAUAUAAUGUUCCGAGACAAAGUAUAAGUGAAGUGAGAUAUGAUGUAUCUGACAAAGUUAAUGUAAAUGAUAAUGCAUCUGAAAUGUCUGCUUACACUCACUCGGGACCAAUUUCUAUAUCUGGGCCAAUAUCACAUUCUGGACAAAUUCCUCUAUCUGGACGUGUAUCAUAUUCUUCUGGUCCGAUUCCAUACUCGGGGAGCCUCUCCACCCGUUCUGACAGUAGCACAGCUAGCACCCACUCAUUUGCUUUCCCCAUAUUGCCAAAUGAAUGGAAUAGCAGCCCAGUAAAGAUGAAGCAAGCAGACUCCAGAUACUUCAAGAAGAAGAGACGAUGCCGAUUCUGUUGUUUCUGCUUCUGAGCUCAAGUCUCUUGUGAUUCAAGUUUGUGGAGGUUUGACUGAUUGGAGUAUGGCAUGCAUCUGCUGUGAACACCUUAAGGGAAUAUUAUCUCUAAUUUGGGUUGGCAGUAUGGUCUAUUUCACUACUGGUGGUUGGGGCACUGGAGAUGGACCGAUUUGAUGUUUGUAUCAUAUAAUUUUGAAGCUGAGUAGGCAGAAUUUCAGAACAAUGUACUCUAUUGUAUUGCUCUUUUGAGAACACCCAUAUUUUUUGGUAUUUUUGAGAGUAUUCAGUCUGAAUUUAAGGAGCCCUGGGUUAUGGGUUCUCCUGUGCCCUUAUAUGAUGGAAACGGCACAUCUGUAUAUAUAUAUAUUUUUUUGGGUAGAUAA
Cryptomeria japonica (Japanese cedar) is the source of this 3525-nucleotide RNA transcript. RefSeq lists it as uncharacterized. NCBI's taxonomy places the organism in Eukaryota, Viridiplantae, Streptophyta, Pinopsida, Cupressales, Cupressaceae. The transcript is spliced from 7 exons. The record is from RefSeq and is a predicted model, not a curated record.